AUAAGACACUGUUUGGAAGAACAUUGUUCCAAAAAUACACUGUGCUGCUUCCUUCACGGUUGUUGAGAAUCUGCAUACUCAGGUAUAUGUGUGUAAACGGGAGGUGGAGAGUGGAGAAGAGGGGAGUGAGGCAGAGUAGCUAGUGACAGGAUUCUGCUUACUCUCGGGGAAACAUUUAGGGAGCAGAGCAGGAUGGCUGCCAACCUAGAGAGUUGUGGGCCUCCCUGGAACUGACUUAGGGAGCAAAACCUGAUCAAAGGGAAUGGCCUCUUUAAAUCGUUUUGAAGAUACUCUUCAUUUGGUUAAGCAAGUUCAGUAUGUUUUAUGAGUUAGAGCUCAGAGAGGAUUUUCUG
This 353-nucleotide long non-coding RNA is filed under the name Pan troglodytes (chimpanzee). RNAcentral's name for it is "long non-coding RNA NONPTRT013693". Lineage: Eukaryota; Metazoa; Chordata; Mammalia; Primates; Hominidae. The record is from RNAcentral.